This 470-nucleotide ribosomal RNA is filed under the name uncultured beta proteobacterium. RNAcentral describes it as "bacterial SSU rRNA". It matches the Rfam family "Bacterial small subunit ribosomal RNA", at positions 198 to 650 of the family's 1533-position model. The record is from RNAcentral. Lineage: Bacteria; Pseudomonadati; Pseudomonadota; Betaproteobacteria.
GGAGAAAAGCAGGGGAUCGCAAGACCUUGCGCUCAUUGAGCGGCCGAUGCCUGAUUAGCUAGUUGGUGAGGUAAAGGCUUACCAAGGCGACGAUCAGUAGCUGGUCUGAGAGGACGACCAGCCACACUGGGACUGAGACACGGCCCAGACUCCUACGGGAGGCAGCAGUGGGGAAUUUUGGACAAUGGGGGAAACCCUGAUCCAGCCAUGCCGCGUGAGUGAAGAAGGCCUUCGGGUUGUAAAGCUCUUUCAGCCGGAACGAAACGGUCACGGCUAAUACCUGUGACUACUGACGGUACCGGAAGAAGAAGCACCGGCUAACUACGUGCCAGCAGCCGCGGUAAUACGUAGGGUGCGAGCGUUAAUCGGAAUUACUGGGCGUAAAGCGUGCGCAGGCGGUUUUGUAAGUCAGAUGAGGAAUCCCUGGGCUUAACCUGGGAACUGCGUUUAAUUAACGAGGCUAGAAGGGC